RNAcentral lists this unclassified non-coding RNA (345 nucleotides) under soil metagenome. RNAcentral describes it as "partial contains 5.8S ribosomal RNA, internal transcribed spacer 2, and large subunit ribosomal RNA". The stretch from base 1 to 119 matches the Rfam family "5.8S ribosomal RNA", at positions 35 to 154 of the family's 154-position model. The record is from RNAcentral.
GAUGAAGAACGUAGCGAAAUGCGAUACGUAAUGUGAAUUGCAAAUUCAGUGAAUCAUCGAGUCUUUGAACGCACAUUGCGCCCCCUGGUAUUCCGGGGGGCAUGCCUGUCCGAGCGUCAUUGCUGCCCUCAAGCACGGCUUGUGUGUUGGGCCCCGUCCUCCGAUUCCGGGGGACGGGCCCGAAAGGCAGCGGCGGCACCGCGUCCGGUCCUCGAGCGUAUGGGGCUUUGUCACCCGCUCUGUAGGCCCGGCCGGCGCUUGCCGAUCAACCCAAAUUUUUAUCCAGGUUGACCUCGGAUCAGGUAGGGAUACCCACUGAACUUAAGCAUAUCAAUAAGCGGAGGA